This 138-nucleotide transfer RNA is filed under the name Elsinoe australis. RNAcentral describes it as "tRNA-Leu". It matches the Rfam family "tRNA". Rfam says of the family: Transfer RNA (tRNA) molecules are approximately 80 nucleotides in length. Their secondary structure includes four short double-helical elements and three loops (D, anti-codon, and T loops). Lineage: Eukaryota; Fungi; Ascomycota; Dothideomycetes; Myriangiales; Elsinoaceae. The record is from RNAcentral.
GCGCCGUUAGUUUAGUGGUAGAAUACAAGGUAAUUCGCACGUCUUGUGAAGGGCGGUCCGGACUUUGCUGAUAGAAAAAGUUUCCCAUCUCAAGCAUGAUGCUUACUUGUGGUCCUGGUUCGAUUCCUGGACGGCGCA